UGGGGAAUAUUGGACAAUGGGCGCAAGCCUGAUCCAGCCAUGCCGCGUGUGUGAUGAAGGCCCUAGGGUUGUAAAGCUCUUUCACCGGUGAAGAUAAUGACGGUAACCGGAGAAGAAGCCCCGGCUAACUUCGUGCCAGCAGCCGCGGUAAUACGAAGGGGGCUAGCGUUGUUCGGAUUUACUGGGCGUAAAGCGCACGUAGGCGGACUUUUGAGUCAGGGGUGAAAUCCCGGGGCUCAACCCCGGAACUGCCUUUGAUACUGGAAGUCUUGAGUAUGGUAGAGGUGAGUGGAAUUCCGAGUGUAGAGGUGAAAUUCGUAGAUAUUCGGAGGAACACCAGUGGCGAAGGCGGCUCACUGGACCAUUACUGACGCUGAGGUGCGAAAGCGUGGGGAGCAAACAGG
Molecule: ribosomal RNA, 404 nt
Filed under: Actinomycetes bacterium
Lineage: Bacteria; Bacillati; Actinomycetota; Actinomycetes
Description: Actinobacteria bacterium partial 16S ribosomal RNA
Rfam family: Bacterial small subunit ribosomal RNA
Source: RNAcentral